ACUGGGUGGCCGAUGUAGAGCACCACUUUUGUGUCUGCUCCCGCCCACCAUCCUCCCCACACACACAUCACCCAUCAACCAGCAAAGUCACAAUCCUGUUAACCAGCGGGACAGCCGGCAGCGUUGGGAGCCUCGGCGUUCCUCAAGACAGGAUGGGCCUGCUACUACUGCUCACCUCCGCGCUCCUGUCCAGCUACUUCCAUCCUGGCAGUGUGGUGAAGGCCCAGCGCGUUGUCAUAUUAAAAGACAUCAGCCUGUCCAUGGAGCCUAGUCAUGUCGUAUCCCGCAACACCAAUGUGACACUGAGAUGCCGGGCCAACGUCGUCAGCGUCGAGAAGGCACUGAGCCGUGAGUACACAAUAUACAAGGACGGCAACGCAAUCUACAACAAGACCUCCAGCACCUCGGAGGACCUCCUGUACCACCUGUCCGAGGUCAGAGUCUCCGACAACGGCAAAUACUCCUGCAGGAUCAGCGCUGAGGGGCAACAAGCGACGAGCAGUGCCAAGAAACUCGAAGUCACAGGGCUGUCAAAACCAGUUCUCCACGUUAACGAGCGUGUGGUCGCUGAAGGGAAGGAGAUAACAGCCACAUGCACGGCGCACGGCGAGAGGGGCUCCAUCUUCUUCUACUUCUACGAGAACGCCACAGAGAUCGAGGAGAGACAAGUCAACUCUAACCAGAUAGAGGUCAAGCUACGCUUAAGCAGCGUCGGCACCCACAGGAUUCACUGUGCCUACGCUGUCUUCGUAAGGCCAGAUUCCUUUAAGUCUGAAGAAAGCAACGCUGUCUCGGUCACAGUCGAAGAGCUCCACAUCGCACCCGUUUUGGAGAUCUUCCCCCAUUCCAAGAUCUACGAGGGAGACGAGCUCUUCGUCUCGUGCAGCGUGAAGGGCCCUCCGCCCACCGACAAAAUGCAUCUCUAUCUAAGCCGAGGGAACCAGCUCCUCGACAGGGGCAACACCACAGUCAGCCACCGCGGCAUCGCCCUGGCGAAGGACAUCGGGGACUUUGAGUGCAGAUUAGAGAUCGGAAGUGUCGUGAAAAAUGACCAAGGGACGAUAUCAGUGACUGAGCUGUUUUCGGUUCCCACGCUCACUGUAUCUCCUGCGGAAGUCUUUCAAAGGGAAGAUAUUACUUUGACCUGUAAAAGUGAGAGCUCUGCUUCUGAGAGACUCGGCCAGGAGGGGUUGACUUAUGCUCUUGAACCACCCAGAAGCCAACUGGUCCCCAAAGGCAUUGGAAUAUUUUCUGGCAAAUCCCCGUCGAACGAUUUCAACUACACCUGCGUUGCUCGGGCCAAGAACAUCGUGAAGCACAGUGAAGUCCUGACGGUGCGUCCUAAAGUUCCUGUCACCACCCCAAAGAUCUCGGUGGUGGGCAGAGCCGUCCUGGGGAGGCGUUUCACCAUCCUCUGCCAGUCGGACAUAGGCAGCUUGCCAAUAAACUACACCCUGCUGAAGGGUUACGACCAACUGAACACCGAAGCUGUCACGCAGCCCUUUCAACAAGCUCUCUUCACAGUCAGCGUCGACAGGCCCGACGAAAUAAGCAAGUUCACGUGCCGGGCAAAGAACAGCCACAGGGAAGCGCUGCUCAGCACAAGACUCAACGCUACCGUCAUAGAGCCCCUGAGCCACCCGAUCCUCACGGUCAUCCCCGGCCUGUCGGAGAUAUCGGAGGAGGACAAUCUCCACCUCAUAUGUGGCGUUCGAGGCACCCCGCCGGUCACCUUUAAGUGGUACCGCGUUGGCACCGAGCUGCCUUUGUCCACCACCACAUCCGACAAGAACAACACGCACUACCAGGUGCACGGUUUGUCCAAAGAGCACAGCGGCGUGUACUACUGCGAGGCUCGCAACCACGCCAACAACGUUGUCCGCAGUGAGCACGUCACCAUAGAGGUGCGCAUGGCGUUGUGGAAAAAACUGAUGAUCGGCGGUUUCUGUCUUCUGGUGCUGUUUUUGUUGGUGGUUGUGUCUGUGCUGUGCUUCAGAUCCAAGAGAGGUAGAGAGACCUACAGUACUUCAGCCGCUCAGCCUGCUUUCGUCUAACCGUGUCUGAAAACCAACCGUCCUUCACCUACUUCCUCCUGCUCCUCUUCUCACAUGUCCCCUCUUAUUGUAGGUAAAAGAGAAGCAGCUGCUGAAUUGUCAGUGUGAGUUGGCUCGACUACUUGAUUCCUCUGAAUGUGACAGAUACUGUAGAAGUUAUUGACAGUGUAGACGAGGGUGUAUCAGUGGUAUGUUUCCUUUUAUUUUUAGCCUUCACAGAACCAUACUGGUUGUUUUGUAACUCUGGCAAAUAGUCACUUAACUCUCCAUUAAACCAGAUUUGUUUUAUAAUUAGUAGGCAUUAAACAAACAAGAUUUAACAUGUCAGAAGUAUAGGUGCUAAAUUGCAGAUUAUGUCAUUUUAGUCUUUUGUUGAAGCAAAAAGCUUAUUUAUUAUUAUAUAAUAGAUGAAAAAUAUAUUAAUCAAUUAAUCAAAUGCAUUAAAACAGCAGUUAAAUCAAUCAAUAAGUUGUUAAAAGGUAAAUUGGUCGGUGAAACAAUUAAUUAAAUUCCUAAAAAUGGCAGAAAAAAAAUCUUGUAACAAAAACACCAUUCUUAAUUUCCAGUAUACACUAAAAAUAUAGUUAAACAAAUUUUAUUCUAUUUCUGCCAAAAAAAAACUAAAUUAAACCUUUAAAUAGUUUUGUUGCACAUCAUUUUGUGCCACCACAACACAAAGUGCUGAUAAGAUGUCAUAGUGAUUUGAAGCACAUCACUUUGAUUUUGUGCAAAAUGUAUUUAAAAUACUGGACAACGAUAGUGUGACAGUGCACAUAAGAGAAGUGAAACUCGUGAUGUUAUCAGAGGUGCUUUGAUAUUGAAAUAGAAUUAACUGUAAAUGCAUGUUUAACGGUAGAGAGAUAUGUUCUGUAUUAAAGAUAAAAUAAUCCUCAUAAAAGUCCACGAAAACAUUGAAAAAAAAAUGUUUAACUCAAAAACUUAAAGGCCACCAGUAUGGUUCUUGAACUGCAUCAUUAGUUUGUUUCAGAAUUAAUUGCACAUACUUUUCAUGCUGUAGAUUAUUUUUAUUUAUUCGAUUUUUGUCCGUGCUGCAGACUUGACUUUAUUUUUACCAUUUCUCAGAAAGCCUGCGAGCCCUAAAUCAGAUGACUCGUUAACAGUGAAUCUAACCCACGACACAGAGGUUUAUAACGCAGCCACAGCGUGAUUCCUGCUGUAGCAUCCAAAUCCAUUCCCACCCCGAGAUGUUCUCACAUGCAUGCAGGACCCAUGUUGUGGUGGACCUGGCUACCACUGUUUACCAAUGUUGCUUUCCAGUUGAUGUCCUGUUAAAGUUAAUGUGCAUGAGUUGCGUAUUUGUUUUGAGCUCAUUGUCUUUGUCGGUCUCUGACCUUCAUUUUUGCAUGCACAUUGUGUGUUGUGUCUUAAGUGUGUAUUUAAAGAGGCAGGAAAAGCAGGAUUGUUGUUAGAAGAACCUACUUAAGUAGUUAUAUCUCAUUACAUGAGAUUCUUAAUUGUUGCAAACUAUUUAGGGCACCAAUUAUCAUCUUCUUCCAGGCGCAGCACCAAUCUAUGAUGGCAUGGAGGGGAGAGGGACCAAUGGGGUGCGAUAUAGCGUGGCGUCGCUUCCCGUUGACAUCAGCAACAGGAGCAGCUACAGUAUCCCAGCCACAGUGUAGAGAUGCCCCCAAAACGGGCGGGACAUGUUUUUUACUUUCAAAGCAAAAGGAAGUUGCAUGAAAGUACGUUUAGAGCAAGAAUGGAAAAUAACGCAAGAGGCAGUAAUGUCAAGGAUUUGGACACAUUUUCUUCAGUGAUGGCUUUUCUGAGCAUAAAAAGAGGGUCGUUUUAUGAAGUGAUAUAAACCAGGACCUGCUGCUCCCUGUCCCCUCCACCUGCAAUCCAGAUGCAUUUAAUUUUACACUCACCGUGAUAGUCUUUGUCUUUUGUUUCCUCAAUCAUGAAGUCCGUGUGAUUUUGUGUCCUUUGUUGUCCUCCUCUGUUUGUCUCAUGUGCAUGUCUACAUGGCCUUGAUUGAUCUGUAUAUACAUUUUAUCACCAUCAAAGGAAACAUGUGUAUAUAUUUGUGGUCGAUCCCCCGACUGGUUGGAAGAGACACUUGUAGAAUAAAGUCGAUGGUUUUAUUUA
Non-coding RNA from Gasterosteus aculeatus aculeatus (three-spined stickleback), 4163 nucleotides. NCBI's taxonomy places the organism in Eukaryota, Metazoa, Chordata, Actinopteri, Perciformes, Gasterosteidae. The record is from RefSeq and is a predicted model, not a curated record.